AUGGCCCUUACGGCCUGGGCUGCACACGUACUACAAUGCUCAGCACAGAACGAUCCGAGACCGCGAGGUGGAGGAAAUCUAGUAAAACUGAGCUCAGUUCGGAUUGGAGGCUGCAAUCGCCUCCAUGAAGCUGGAAUCGCUAGUAAUGCCGUAUCAGCUACGACGGCGUGAAUACGUUCCCGGGCCUUGUACACACCGCCCGUCACAUCAUGGAAGUCACUUGUAGCCGAAGUGCGCGCGCUAACCAGCAAUGGAGGCAGCGCCCUACGCUAUGAGCGGUAACUGGGAUGAAGUCGUAACAAGGUAGCCGUAGGGGAACCUGCGGCUGGAUCACCUCCUUUCUAAGGAGA
Molecule: ribosomal RNA, 350 nt
Filed under: Chthoniobacterales bacterium
Lineage: Bacteria; Pseudomonadati; Verrucomicrobiota; Spartobacteria; Chthoniobacterales
Description: bacterial SSU rRNA
Rfam family: Bacterial small subunit ribosomal RNA
Source: RNAcentral